RNAcentral lists this ribosomal RNA (254 nucleotides) under uncultured bacterium. RNAcentral's name for it is "partial 16S ribosomal RNA". It matches the Rfam family "Bacterial small subunit ribosomal RNA", at positions 524 to 776 of the family's 1533-position model. The record is from RNAcentral.
UACGGGGGGGGCAAGCGUUGUUCGGAUUUACUGGGCGUAAAGGGCGCGUAGGCGGCCAGCCCAAGUCAGUUGUGAAAUCUCCGAGCUUAACUCGGAAAGGUCAACUGAUACUGUGCGGCUAGAGUGCGGAAGGGGCAACUGGAAUUCUUGGUGUAGCGGUGAAAUGCGUAGAUAUCAAGAGGGACACCUGCGGCGAAGGCGGGUUGCUGGGCCGACACUGACGCUGAGGCGCGAAAGCCAGGGGAGCGAACGGG